GGACGAACGCUGGCGGCGUGCCUAACACAUGCAAGUCGAACGAAGCAUUGGAGUUGAUCCCUUCGGGGUGACGCACCUUAUGACUUAGUGGCGGACGGGUGAGUAACACGUGAGCAACCUGCCUCUCAGAGUGGAAUAACAGUUGGAAACGGCUGCUAAUACCACAUAACGUUUUUGUGCCGCAUGACACUUCAACCAAAGAUUUAUCGCUGAGAGAUGGGCUCGCGUCCGAUUAGGUAGAUGGUGGGGUAACGGCCUACCAUGCCGACGAUCGGUAGCCGGACUGAGAGGUUGAUCGGCCACAUUGGGACUGAGACACGGCCCAGACUCCUACGGGAGGCAGCAGUGGGGGAUAUUGCACAAUGGGCGCAAAAGCCUGAUGCAGCAACGCCGCGUGCGGGAAGACGGCCUUCGGGUUGUAAACCGCUGUCCUUGGGGAAGAAACAAAUGACGGUACCCAAGAAGGAAGCCACGGCUAACUACGUGCCAGCAGCGGC
Molecule: ribosomal RNA, 497 nt
Filed under: uncultured bacterium
Lineage: Bacteria
Description: bacterial SSU rRNA
Rfam family: Bacterial small subunit ribosomal RNA
Source: RNAcentral